UCCCUACGGGAGGCUGCAGUGGGGAAUUGUUCACAAUGGGCGCAAGCCUGAUGACGCAACGCCGCGUGGGGGAUGAAGGUCUUCGGAUCGUAAACCCCUGUCGAACGGGACGAAUAGCCUUCGGAUUAAUACCCUGGAGGAAUGACGGUACCGUUAAAGGAAGCCACGGCUAACUCUGUGCCAGCAGCCGCGGUAAUACAGAGGUGGCAAGCGUUGUUCGGAAUUACUGGGCGUAAAGGGCGCGUAGGCGGCCAUUUAAGUCAGACGUGAAAUCCCCCGGCUUAACCUGGGAACUGCGUCUGAUACUGGACGGCUUGAGUUUGGGAGAGGGAUGUAGAAUUCCAGGUGUAGCGGUGAAAUGCGUAGAUAUCUGGAGGAAUACCGGUGGCGAAGGCGGCAUCCUGGACCAAUACUGACGCUGAGGCGCGAAAGCUAGGGGAGCAAACGGGAUUAGAUACCCUAGUAGUCCU
This 470-nucleotide ribosomal RNA is filed under the name uncultured bacterium. RNAcentral's name for it is "bacterial SSU rRNA". It matches the Rfam family "Bacterial small subunit ribosomal RNA", at positions 335 to 797 of the family's 1533-position model. The record is from RNAcentral.